Pantherophis guttatus is the source of this 13206-nucleotide non-coding RNA. The record is from RefSeq and is a predicted model, not a curated record. Lineage: Eukaryota; Metazoa; Chordata; Lepidosauria; Squamata; Colubridae.
CGCGCGUCGCCAUCCCUUGGCCAAGACCCGCUGAAAAGGAGGAGGGGAAAGGGGCCUCGCUCGUUUGCUCCCGCUCGGCUCGGGAGGGGGGGGGAGGAGGAUGACUUAGCACUGAAUCCGACUCCGGCAAGCAGGCAAACAAGCAGGCAGGCUGGCUCUACGCUUCCAGGUCUUGUCACAGCCCGGCCGGCCUACACCGAGCAAGACGGGUGGGCGGGAGCGCCCGCGAGGCGUUGAGGGAGGGCGAGACUGCACAGCCACGGGAGGGAGGAGGGAGGAGGAGGAGAGGGCCCAGGAAAGCUGCCUUGAGGAGCCGCCGCGCGCCGCUGCCGCCUUUUCGCGGGACUCGGGUCUGCUUCGCGAAAAGAAAGCGGGCGACGCCACCACCAUCACCGCCUUCCCUUCCGAGCAGCCCGCCGCCACUUUUCCUCCCUCCACACCUCCUGCGUCCGCAUUUUCCUCCUGCGGCGCGCCCCGAGCUGACUUAAAACUCAGAUUUGGUUUGAAUGCCUUUUACAUUAAUCUGACCUGCCCAUGUAAAGAAUAGACUCUGGGAGAAAUGCUGAAAAUCACUUGGCUUCCUCUUUCCAUGGAAAACUGAACGGAAUGUGGUGUUAGAUCUGUGAAAGAAGGCCCGUAGAAUUUAUCUGCAGUGAUGAGUUCUGAAGAGAAAGGAACUUCUCCUGCUCACAGAACCUCCACACCAUCACAUAAGGCUGACUCCUCUUCAUCAUAUUCCCAGUGGGACACUAGGCAGAGUGGCCAUGUGUUAGAGCGCAAUGCUUCUGUUGGAAGCACAGACUUGAUUAUUGGGAAGCAGUUGUUAGAAAAUGAGCCAGUCGCUGUAUCUAAAGAACCAGACAGCUGGGAAAUUAUAGAGGGCUUGAAAAUUGGCCAGACUAAUGUCCAGAAGCCAGACAAACAUGAAGGAUUCAUGCUGAAGAAAAGGAAAUGGCCUUUAAAAGGCUGGCACAAGCGCUUUUUUGUUCUGGACAAUGGAAUGUUGAAAUACUCAAAGUCACCAAUUGAUACUCAGAAAGGGAAGGUUCAUGGGAGCAUAGAUGUGGGAUUAUCGGUUAUGUCAAUUAAAAAGAAAGCACGUAGGAUAGAUCUUGACACUGAGGAGCAUAUCUACCAUUUAAAAGUAAAAUCCCAGGAUUCAUUUGAUGCUUGGGUGUCCAAGUUGCGCCAUCAUAGAUUAUAUCGUCAGAAUGAGAUUGUGCGAUCGCCACGGGAUGCCAGUUUCCACAUAUUCCCUUCAACUUCCACCACUGAAUCUUCACCAGCUACUAAUGCCACAGUGCUGGAAACUAAGGUCUCACAGAAUAAUUUCCCCUGGCAACCGUCUAUCCCUUGCAGUAGCAGUCUACCUGAAACAUGUACUACUGGCCAAAGUAAAGUAGUUGCUUGGUUGCAAGAAUCAGAGGAGAUGGAUAAGUGUGCAGAAGAUCUUGCACAUUGUCAAUCAAAUCUUGUAAAACUCAGUAAAAUUCUUCAGAACUUAGAAAUACUUCAGAGAACUCAGUCAGCACCUAGUUUCACAGAUAUGCAGGCUAACAGUGUAGAUAAGAAAGACAAGCGUGUCACCAGAAGAUGGAGAACAAAAAGUGUGAGCAAAGAUGCUAAAAUACAGCUUCAGGAAGGGACUGCGCUGAAGGGCCAAUUCGGUACUGCACGGCGCCGGCAGAGACUAGCAGCAGCAGUGGCUACAACAGUUCCUUUCAGUGCUACAAUGUCUCCUGUUCGACUACAUUCAUCUAAUCCUAACCUUUGUGCAGACAUCGAAUUUCAGACCCCACCCACUCCUGUAUCGGAUCCUUUGGAAAGCUCCACAGACUACAUAAAACUUCAGGAAGAGUUUUGCCUCAUGGCUCAGAAAGUACAUUCUCUUUUGAAGUCUGCAUUUAACAGUAUAGCAAUAGAAAAGGAAAAACUGAAACAGAUGGUAACAGAACAUGAUUUCGCAGCACACAACACACAGAUGAUACGUCUCCGACAAUCACUUUCUCAGGCUCUCAACCAGAAUGCUGAACUAAGGAGUCGUUUGAACAGAAUACACUCAGACUCUGUUCUUUGUGAUCAGGUUGUCAGUGUAAAUAUUAUCCCUAGUCCUGAUGAGACAGGUGAACAGAUCCAUGUCAGUCUCCCACUUUCUCAACAAGUUUCUAAUGAGAGCCGGCUCUCCAUGUCCGAAUCUGUCUCUGAAUUUUUUGAUGCCCAAGAAGUGCUUCUAUCUGCAAGCUCAUCAGAAAAUGAGGCUUCUGAUGAUGAAUCUUAUAUAAGUGAUGUGAGCGACAACAUAUCUGAGGACAACACUAGUGUUGGAGACAAUAUUUCUCGGCAAAUAAUGAAUGGUGAGCUAACAGGAGGUGCUUUCAGAAAUGGACGAAGGACAUGUCUUCCAACACCCUCCCCUGAUACUAGUAAUAUUAAUCUGUGGAACAUUUUGAGAAAUAAUAUUGGGAAGGACCUUUCCAAAGUAUCAAUGCCUGUAGAGCUCAAUGAGCCUUUGAAUACUUUGCAACAUCUUUGCGAGGAACUGGAAUAUAGUGAACUUUUGGACAAAGCUGCUGAAAUCGAUGAUCCCUAUGAACGUAUGGUCCUUAUUGCUGCCUUUGCAACUUCAGGAUAUGCUUCCACUUAUUACAGAGCAGGAAGCAAGCCUUUUAACCCUCUACUUGGUGAGACUUAUGAGUGUAUAAGAGAAGACAAGGGAUUUCGAUUUUUCUCAGAGCAGGUUAGCCAUCACCCACCCAUUUCUGCCUGUCACUGUGAAUCAAAGAAUUUUGUGUUUUGGCAAGAUAUUAGAUGGAAAAACAAAUUCUGGGGGAAAUCGAUGGAAAUAUUGCCAAUUGGAACUCUGAAUGUGACACUUCCUAAAUACGGUGAUUGCUAUGUUUGGAACAAAGUCACUACUUGCAUACACAACAUCCUGAGUGGAAGGAGAUGGAUAGAGCAUUAUGGAGAAGUAACCAUUAGAAAUACAAAAAGCAGUGUCUGUAUUUGUAAGCUCACAUUUAUCAAGGUGAAUUACUGGAAUUCUAACGUAAAUGAAGUUCAAGGUGUUGUCAUUGACCAAGAAGGAAAAGUGGUGCAUCGCCUUUUUGGAAAAUGGCAUGAAGGAUUAUAUUGUGGAAUUGCACCUUCAGCAAAAUGUAUAUGGAGGCCCGGUUCCAUGCCAACAAAUUAUGAGCAUUACUAUGGUUUCACAAGGUUUGCUGUUGAGCUGAAUGAGUUAGAUCCUGCACUGAAAGAUCUUCUUCCAAAAACAGAUGCUCGAUUCAGGCCAGAUCAAAGGCAUUUGGAAGAUGGAAAUUUAGAAGUAGCAGCAGCGGAAAAACAAAGAAUUGAAGAACUCCAGAGAUGCCGGAGACGUUAUUUAGAGGAAAACAAUAUAGAACAUGUACCAAAAUUUUUUAAUCUAAUCCCUCUUCGGAUGGAGUAAUUCCUUCUGUGUAUACAACAAUAUGAAGUGGUGUCCCCAGACUGAAGCAGUUAUUCUUGGCUGCAAAUCAGGAUUGGUUAGAAGAGUGCUGAUUCCUAUUAACACCAGAUGGAGAAGUAGAGAAAUUGGCUGAAGAAACUGAAUUAGUUGAGUGUAAGUUCCCCCCCACUUCCUGUGAUAGGGUCUGAGAUUAUAACACUGAUUAAACAGAUGAAAUUGAAUAAAGCUCCAGAAUAUGAGUUCAUUUUAGUGGAAGACAUUCAAAACAGUUUAGAUUGGUGGGUACCCAUUUUGGCUUUCCUAUUCACCUGUAUUGAUAAAUAUGCUAAGAUCUCUGAUGAUUGGGCCUACCUUUGGUGACUUCAAUCUACAAAAAAAGAAAAAUAGAGAUUAUUGGCCCAUUAGCCAAUCAAUUAAUUAUAUGCUAGCACAUGUACAACAAGCUCCUACAUUGGAGUGUAACUGAGAAUAUCUUGUCUGAUGAGCAGACAGGCUUCAGAGAAAGCCACUAAUUAACUCUUAUAGACACAUUGAAUAGCCCAUCUCUUGAUCUGCCAAAAUUGGGAAGUAGACACAUUUCUUUUAUAUGCAGAUGCUGUUGCACUGUUUCCUUAGACACAGACUGUCUAAGGAUCACUGAUGAUGUUACCUAGUUUGGGUAAUGAAAUGUCUGCAAGAAAACAAGAGCUCAGUCACAGAUUGGCCUGAAAUGGGCACUUAAUAUACUUGGUGGGGACUGUCAAGAAGAACAGCUAGAAAUUAAUUACUCCAAAAUCAGGGUCAUGGUUUUUGCUAAGGAACACAAGUCUGGCAGCUAAAUUAUUUAACAGAGUAGGUCUUAAAUAUCUGGGGAUUAUUUUCCAUGCUAUAGGCAACUAUAAAUUUCACACCAAUUAUGUUACCCUAAAUACACAGAAAUCCUCUUUGGCUUUAUACUUUUUUUUAUUUCUCAAAAGGAUCUCCGUAUAUAUCAGCAGCAAUUAAAAUCUCUUCAACUAACAUCCAAGCCCAGCAACUUUUUGGAAUUUAGUUGGGUCCUUAAAGGGCAUUCCUUUGUCUUGAAAGAGUUCAAACCAAAUUUUUGAUUCUUUUUCAAGUAGUUCAUUGUGUGCCAAAUGUGUGCUUCAUAGUAAAGCCAGCCUUCUUAAAAUGACUGUGCAUUAGCUGAUCUCAAACAAUGGGCCACUGAUUUAGAGUUGUAGGCUGAGUUAUCAGUUCUAUCUAGAAACAACUUCUUGAGCCACUCCACAUAUCUUCUUCAAUUAGCCAAAUACCUUAGUUGCAUCAUGAUUCCAAAAUUUAGAAAGGCUUUAUCCUUGGCUAGAUUCAGUGCCUGCACAACAGUGGUUACUGAAGGGACAUGGUGAAUGAAAGAUCCCUUUUGAAUAGAGAUGUCCCCACAUGGUGGAGAAAUAAUUGAAAUGCUGGAACAUGAUACCUAGACACUCACCAAGAAUUAUUAUCUCAAUUCUUUAUUAAAUAUCCUAUUCGUUCUGACUUGUUUUAUCUUGUUAUUAUUAGGUCAAUGUGAUUUGACAUCUUUGACCACAGCUAAGUACCAUUCUACAGUUUGUACAGUACACCAUAAUAUCUCUUCUAAUCCUUCUUAGAUAUUUUAGAACAAUUAUUUUUUUCUUUUUUUAUCCUAAUUGAUUUUCUUCUUUUAUUUGUUGAUUGUUGAUUUAUGAUUAAAUAAAAUGGAUUAUUUUAUUGCAAUUUCAUUUUUCAGAAGAUUUCCUCAACAAGUAAAUUAAAUUGAAGUAUAUUUCUAUUCUCUUAAAGAAUAUUUUUGAAUUUAUGUUAACCAAUAACUCUUUUAAUUUUGCAGAAAAGUUAUUGAAGCCAAUCAGAGAGAAGCAUGGGUUUCUAAUGACACCUAUUGGGAACUCCGAAAGGAUCCUGGCUUUAGUAAAGUAGAAACACUCAAACUCUGGUAAACUGAGAAUGUAGAUCUAGCAACAUAUAACUCUUUUAAAAUAGAAAAACAAACAAAGAAAGAAACCACUAUGCACAACAUGUUUCUUAUAGCUGACGGUGAUUUGUGGGUCUGCAGGAAACCUUCCUUUGCUUUUACAUUCAAUUUAUAAUAGACUUCCAAAAGUGCAUUAGCCCAGACUCUGAACAUUUCUAUGAUCAUUAAAUUGAAAAGAAGGGAGGAAAAAGCCCACAACCCCUUCAUUUAUUGAGAUACUGGAAGUGCAGCAUAAAAGAAGCAUGUACUGAUUUGGCCAAAGAUGCUUUGUAGAGUAUCUGGUGCUUUAAAUAGACAUGAAGAGUUCAACAAUAAAAUAAAUCUUGUUAUAACUAAGUUCUAGAAUGUCUACACAUGUAGUUAUUGAAUCUUGAAUCACAUUAGAACACUUGUUCAUUUCUAGAGUCAGGUUGGUUUUUUUGAUGUGUUGUGCUUGGACUGGCUAUAUCAAAAACAACAUAAUGCUUUUCUAGAAGCUCUUCCCAUUCAUAUGCCAUUUUUCAUGCCUUAAAAACAAUGUCAAGUUGUACGUUGUUAUUUUAAAAUAUGUAUGUAUUUGUCAUUUCUCAAGGGCAGAUUUUUAAAAACACCAAGAUUUUUGUUCAUAUUUUAAAUAAUGGAUAAAGUAUAUUAUUUAUGGAAAAUGAACUGUAAUUGUAAAGCAAAAGGAUGAUCUGGGAAUGUUUUAUCUUUGCAGUUUGUGGUUCUAUAUAGGCAGGUUGAAAGGAAACUGGCUAAUUUUGUAAUGAUCUUGAGAAAUUAAUCUAAGUUCAUAUUCUCAAUGCCUAAUGCUGUGAUAAAUACACCAUCUCUUUUCAUGACUUCUCAUACUUCCUUCUGUCUGAUUUUCAUAACCCUUUAUAGAAUUAAAAUUCCUUAAAACUGUGCAUGAAUGCUAAGCACAUCUUUUAAAUUAGAAAAGCAUCCUGCAGGGGUAUAAUCAUCCUGAUAACCUAUGUAUUCAUGCUUUCUUAUGUACAUUAUAUAUAUUUGUUCUCACCUCUUUGGGAAUUGUUGGGAGAAGUAAUGUGAUACAUGCACUACUUUCUCAGUUGACUCUUGCUAAUAUCAUUUUUAUGCAAAAUUAUAUUUUAUUGCUUUUUCAUAAAGCAAUUAUAUUUUUGGAUGAAGAAUGACCUAAAUGGCUAUUAUGUAGCACAUUUUGAUGUAUAUGUGGAAAGAGCCUGGAUGAUGUUGCCCUCAAAAUUAAGUCUAGUUGGUUACCAUGCUUUGCUAAAAUCAAUAUAUAAAGUAAAAAUCUUAAUGCUUUUUAAUAGAAAGUUGUCUUUUAUUUAUGUCCAGUGAUUUAAUUUAUUAAUACCUUGGACACUGGCAAUAGAAAAGAUUUUCUUGUAUAUAUUUCAAAAAUAACAUUUCUGUAUAUUCAUGGCACAUAACUGUAUUUUACUGAGUGCAUUUUAUUGCUUUUCUGUAAAGGCACAGAGGUGGCUAUGAUUUGCCGAAAGCAAACUAACUGUAUAUGAUUAUGCAUUCUAUGUAGUACUCAUCUUAUUUCCCCCAUGUCCAUUUCUGCUUAAUAAGCACACCUGUAUAAGGGACAGCCUGUUUAAAAAUAGGGCCUUAACUUCCUGAAGUUACUUCCAGCUGGGAGUAUACCAUAUUAGCUAGACAUUUAUUAUCUGGCUGCGAUUUCGCUCUGAAUUUCAGUUGUAACUUAGGAUCACUUGUAUUUGACCAAGGCUUAAAAUAUGCACGAUAUUCUAGUACGAGUCUCUGAAGUACAGAAGGAGAAUGUUUUGUUUGCUGAUAUGCACAUUUCAUUCAAAUUGAAAAAGAAUUAGAAUGCAUAGGAUAAAAUAUGCAUGGACUUUUACAUGGUCCUUAUACAACAGGAGCUGUCAGCAUGCCACUGUCACAUUGGGAAUUUUGUUAACGUAGUAAUCCUUACAAGGUAUAGUUUAGUCAAUCUUGGUAAAAAUAGGAAGAAAGAAUGCCUUACCAUUCCGUCUUUUACAUUCAGUCUUCGGUAACCUCCCAGGAAUUUGUUACUGUCUCUUCAAAGCCAGAAUUAUUAAUUAAAAAGUUAUAAAUAUUAACAGAUAUUAUGAUUUAGUAAAAUGUUGAGACCAGGUGCUUAACAAGGUCAAUUAUAAAUCGAGCUAACUUUGACAUAACAUGCUGCCCCAAAUAACAUACUAAAGUUGAUUAGUUUUAAGCUUGACUAGCAUAUUAUUUGAAGGCAGGCCAUUUGGUUAGUUUAUAACAUUUUUUUAAAUUUACUUUUAUCCCACCUUUAUUAUUUUUAUAAAUAACUCAAGGCAGUGAAAAUAUCCCACAUACCUUCCUCCUCCUACUCUUCCCCACAAACAACCCUGUGAGAUUGAUUGACCUGAGUGAGAGUAAUUCACUGAAGGUCAUCCAGCUGGCUUUAUGGCUAAGGCAGGAUUAGAAUUUACAGUCCUCUGCUUUCUAGCUUGGUGCCUUAACCCACCAGACCAAAAUGGGUCUCUAUAUUGUACACACCUGGAUUAUCAGUCCACUUAGCUAACUGCCUGAGCCUGUUCUGUGAACCCAGAACUAAACUUCAAAUGGCUUACUUGUAUUAAUGUAACAAGUUUGAUUUAAAUAUAUGGGACUACAGCCGUUUUCCUUUGGGACAAUUGUAAUUCAUCCAAGCCAUUUCCUUUCAGGUAAUGCAAAAUGUGAAAAAGGAAUAAGAAUUAGUAAGCAAACCACAAGAGAUGAGAUUAGGAGCAUAUGAAGAUAGCUACAUUUACACCCAUAAAAUCCACUAUAACUCUGUAUUUUUCUAUCCUUGCAAACCAUUCUUGCUUUGAACACAUUGGUACUCCACUUCAGAGGUUGCCUUUGGUUCUAAAUCUUCUCACCAAUAAGUUCUUGAGGGUUUCAUUAGCUCAUUCAACCAUGGUUUUCCUUCAUUAUCCACUUCAUUUGAAUCCAUUUACUUUUCCUUCGUACGUUGGUUUUACAGUUCGGUCUUCAUUCGUUCUCUAGAGGUCACUGCCUAUCAGUCCCAAUUCAUUCUACAGAUAAUGUCUUUAGUUAUUCAACAAUUAUUUGUUUCCAUCCUAAUUACUUUGCAUUUUCUUUCCUGUGUUUAUUUAAACAGCUCCCUGCUAUCUGUGACUGCAUUCUUCGCAACUUUUUCUCUACAUGUAUGUCAUAUAUUUUACUCAUCAUGAUUCUCUUACCCCUGUGUAUUGCUCAUUCACAGACUUUUGACUUCAUUCAUUUUUAAUACUUUGGUACUUUUCUUUAGUAUUAUGUCCACAAACGUCAGUGGUAAAGUAAUUUUUCCCACUGUUUUAAGUUAGCUUACAUAUUCUUUUUCCUCAAGUCUACUCUCUUUUUAGAUUAUUGGGAGAUUUAUUUGUUUUCAAUUUUAUCUAUACAGGGCACAUUUUGUCUACCAGUAGUUAUUCUAUUUUUUUCAUUUCUUUCUUCCAUGUGUAUUUUUUUUUCUUAAGAUCCAUUUUUGAGACUACCGUUAAUGAUUUGGCAUCUAAUUUCUGAACUUUUCAUCACUUUUGUACCUUCAAUAAUUCAUUUAAAAAAAAUCAAGUGAACGCUACUUUAAUGUGUGACAAAAAAGAGACUUAUACUUACUUACAAGUUAUGCUUUUUAUUCAUUUUCCAUGUGGCCUACUCACUUUUGCUGUACUCUUGUCUUCUUUCUGUUCACUGUUAUCUUUUAAGAGUAUUCUCCUCCCCCCCAGAUUGAAUUUUUCAGAAUAUUGCACAUUAUCUCAAAACUCAUCCCUGAGGCAAUUCUCACCAGCUUAUGCAUUCCUAUAUUCAUAUGCACUUCAACAAACUAGAUAACAUCAAUUUCUAAUUAAUAUUGUAGCUCUUCAUAAUUAAACGUUUUCACUUCCAUACAUGUUUUAUGAAUUCCAUUCUCUAAGAUUAAACUACCAUAUUUUUUGCACUAUAAAACGCACCGGACCAACUCCCCAGCCCCACCCCCACCGCAAUAUUCGCUCUAUAAGACACACAGACAUUUCCACCCACUUUUUUGGGGGGGGGAGUGUGUCUUAUAGAGUGAAAAAUACGGUACCUUAUUUAGUUGUUACAUCCUUCACCUUUCAGAGACAUAAAACUAUUUUUUAUUUCAUUUGUUAAUUAAUGCUAUUUAUCAUUUGCUCCAGGGUGGAUUUGAUUUAUAUCGAGUCGAUUUAAAUCAUGAUUUAAAUCACUAGUAAAAAGACUUGAUUUAAAUCAACUCGAUUUAAAUCAUAAUUUUUAAAGAGCAACUGUCAUCUCUGCUACUCCUUUGACCCGCUGUUGACUCACCGAUAGUCCCAGUGUUGCAGAAUAUACAGCCUUGUGCUACAUAACUAAGCUCCGUUUCAUGCUGAAUAAACUAAAUUAUUUAUGUAUCUUAAAUAGAAAACUAUCUUACGAUAGAUUUUUACCCCAAAAGUUUUUUAUUAAAAUAAAUUCAAUAAAAAUAAAAAAAAUCUGAUUUAAAUAAAAAAAAUCUGAUUAAAAAAAAAAUCAUUGAUUUUUAUCCACCCUGAUUUGCUCUCUUUCAUAUGCCAUAAUGAACACUAAUUGGGCUCAUAGCAAUAGCACUUAAGACUUACAUAGCGUUUCACAGUGCUUUACAGACCUCUCUAAGUGAUUUACAGUCUCAGUAUAUUGCCCCCAACAAUCUGGUUCCUCAUUUUAUUGACUUUGGAAGGAUGGAAGGCUGAGUCAACCUUGAGCCGGUGAAAACCGAACUGACGAUCUGCUGAUAGCCAGCAGUCAGCAGAAGUAGCCUGCAGUACUGCAUUCUAAUCAUUGCAUCUCCAGUAAUGAUCUCUACUACCCAUGAUGGGUUUGGUCAAGCAAAGGUUUCACACUAUACUUUUUAGUAAGAUAGCUAAAAUGUAAAUUAGGUUACCAGUUUUAGAUGUGAAACAUUCCUUGCUAAUGGUGAAAGGAAGGCUAGGCAGUUUGGGCCCAUUUUGACCCAAAGCUAUCACAAAUGCAACAAAACCCAGGUUUAUUCCAAGCAUAUUCAUAUUAUUCUACACAAGACAGAACUCUAAUCUAGAGACUGCCUUGUAAAUCUUGCAAAUUGUCUUGCAAGAUUGGUUUAGUGGUUCUCUUAGUUUUCAACACAGGACACUGAGAGAUAUAAGAGUCUAAACUACUUUGGGGGAAAAGAAACCCAUCCAGAUCUCUAGUUUGAACUAUUUUCUUAAAAAUGUAGAUAUUCUUGAAAUCAUUUCACUAUAGCAUUUAUUUUAAGAUAUGCUUUCGUAAGGUUCUAAACUAAAUCUGAAUCAAGUAUAUCAUAUUUAGCUAUAAUUGACAGUAUAGUCCUACCAUAAAUUCAUGCUAACAGGGUGAGCAAACUCAUCACAUUAGUUCAUUCGUUCACCACACAUCUGCAGAUAUUAUAUUUAUUUCAUCUAAACCUAUAAAAUAUGAUAGUUAGGGGUAGUAGGUAAAUUUUUCAGAAAAAAAAAUGCUUUCAAAGAAAAAAAAAUCCUGCUAGCCAGAGUUCAUUUAAAUCAGAUAAAAUAUGCAUUUCAAAAUGAAAAUUAUAGAAUUAACUUAAGAAGAUGAAUGUGAAUUUCUGUAAAGGAUUGAACUCAUGUGAUGGAAAUUUUUCUUUAUUAAAUUUCCAGAUUGAAAAAUGGAGCUCUUCUUUAACCUGACCUUCUCUUUCAAACAAUCUUCAGGAAAAUCUCAAGAACAUCUAAUUUAUGUGAUACGCUCCCAUAUUUAAAAUACUCCUUAUUCACUCGAAGUUUCUGCAUCAAGCUAUGUCACACUCAAGCGCCCAUUCUGACUUACCUUAUACGCUUUGCUUUUUGCAGGCCCUCCCUCCCCUCAAUCUACCCUCCCGGCCAUCCCAAUCAGUGAUUCCUCUGAAAGUAUCCUUAUUAUAAUGGCAAAUUUGGAGGAUUCUGUAGAUUGGGAACAAAUAAAAACGAGGCUUUUUAGAGUCCAGAAGAAGACUGAGAUGCCCAGUUGUGUAACAGGAAUCUGUCCCAUCCCUAUCUCUGCUAUGCACUGCUGAGUCUUAGCAUGCAGUCCCAGCAUUGGCUGAAUGUAGACUUGGGCACAUUGGCUCAAAACAUACUUGAAUAAUUAUCACAGAACUAUCAUUAUUAACUAUUGUUACUUCUCCUCUGCUUUUCUCUCUUUAGAAAUAACAGUUCCAAAACAGAAGUUCAGUAAAAAAAAAAUAAAGUCGGGAUUUGGAGGGACACUUAGAUGAAGUCCUUGAUCAAAUCAAAUGACGUUUCCCAAGUAUUUCACAGCUCAUAAAUAAUUAUUGUGGUUGCCCAAAGGAACUUUGGUUCUGGGCUAAUGCUACAUAUAAUUAGAGUGAACAAUAACCACAUUCUGUCUACCAAGUCAACCCUAUUAGAUUUCAGUAAACUUUUUCUCAGCCAUCUCUGUGUUUCUGAGAAUGGAAUGGUGCCAAUUUUGCAACUGGGAAUUCUGUAAUAAUUUUAAUGCAAGCAAUGUAUUAUGAGUGUUUUCCUAUUUAUUUCAACAGAAUGUGACUUGUAUCCAUGCCCAGGAUUGUCAAGUUUUCAUCCAAAUUAACAAAAGAAUUGCUCCCCUAUAAAAUAAUAUAUAUUGUAAAGUUCUUUUUGUGACUUACCUUAUUUAUCAGGAUUUUUAAAAGACAAUAUUGAGCACCAUAUAUUUUUUGAAAUUAUAUGUAUUCAAAUAAGAAACAGUAUUAUGAAACAAUUUAUCGAUUGCUUUUUUUCCCUUAAAGAUAAAAAGCCUAAUCCAGUAGAUUAUCAGUCUCCCUCAAAUUGUCUCUAGCUAGAGCCAUCCAAACUGCAUAAUGUUGGUAGAAGAGGUGGUGUGGCACAUCUAGAGCGAAAUAGGACAACCCCGCCUCAGCCAACUUGCAGCCAAUUUGCCGCGGGACAACUCAUCAUGGCCAACUCUCCACAGGACAGCUCACUGUAGGACAGUUUAAUUCAAUUAUUUGAAAUAAAAAAUGUUAAUUUUUGUCAUUGACAUUUAAUUCUGUCCCUCCUUUUUCAUUCUUUAAUGAUUCUAUUCCACCAUUUCUUUGGUAAUAGUGUAACUCUUCUCCUGCAAUGAAUUAGCUGUGACGAGUUGCCCUACACGAGUUGGCUCCAGUUGGAACCAGCAGCAGUAAAUCUCAAUUAGAAAUGUUGCAAAUGUUGAAAGCAAUGGAACUAGAACUUAAUUACACCAACCUAGUGCCAUAAAAUCUUGGCUUUGCUCUGUUGUCUUCUGUAGCCUAAUUUAAAGAAAUGAUUGGCAUUAGGAAGAAUGCUUAGGGACCUGAAGUAUCAACAUUACCACUAUUCAUUUUUGGAAGUAUUUCUUAAGACAAAAUGUAAUAUUUUUUGCCACUUCCUUCUUUGACUCACCAUAUUAUAGUAUCAACUAAUCAGAAGUAUGCCUCUUCAGAUAAAUGUCAUGCAGAGGAAUGUACCAUUUGUGAGAAAACUGGCCUCCCUAAACACACAGCACUUUUAAGGCACUUUGAUGUUUCAGAAAGUUUUUUUUAACAGUGUUGCAAUUUGACUGCAAUCUUACAUUGUAAAGAUCGCAGUGAUUCCAAACUUCUGCAGUGAACCCUAUUGUGACUGAACAGAGAUUUGAAUCUUAUUUUCAGCAACCCAAACUCAAUAUUGUCUUUAUCCCAUUACCCAAUGUUAAAGCUAAAUACGAAGAUAGAACAUUGUGAUACUUGCACAGGAUCAUUUUGCAAAACUCUGUGGUCUUUAUCCUCAGCCUUGAAUAUGAAAACACAUGUAUACCUUUAUAAAAAAUGCCAUUGAAUAAAAAGACCAUUGUUUUUAAUAGACUA